AGCUUGCUCCUGGGUGACGAGCGGCGGACGGGUGAGUAAUGUCUGGGAAACUGCCUGAUGGAGGGGGAUAACUACUGGAAACGGUAGCUAAUACCGCAUAACGUCUACGGACCAAAGUGGGGGACCUUCGGGCCUCAUGCCAUCAGAUGUGCCCAGAUGGGAUUAGCUAGUAGGUGGGGUAAUGGCUCACCUAGGCGACGAUCCCUAGCUGGUCUGAGAGGAUGACCAGCCACACUGGAACUGAGACACGGUCCAGACUCCUACGGGAGGCAGCAGUGGGGAAUAUUGCACAAUGGGCGCAAGCCUGAUGCAGCCAUGCCGCGUGUGUGAAGAAGGCCUUCGGGUUGUAAAGCACUUUCAGCGAGGAGGAAGGGUUCAGUGUUAAUAGCACUGUGCAUUGACGUUACUCGCAGAAGAAGCACCGGCUAACUCCGUGCCAGCAGCCGCGGUAAUACGGAGGGUGCAAGCGUUAAUCGGAAUUACUGGGCGUAAAGCGCACGCAGGCGGUUUGUUAAGUCAGAUGUG
This 525-nucleotide ribosomal RNA is filed under the name Serratia sp. (in: enterobacteria). RNAcentral describes it as "bacterial SSU rRNA". It matches the Rfam family "Bacterial small subunit ribosomal RNA", at positions 77 to 596 of the family's 1533-position model. The record is from RNAcentral. Lineage: Bacteria; Pseudomonadati; Pseudomonadota; Gammaproteobacteria; Enterobacterales; Yersiniaceae.